This 121-nucleotide small nucleolar RNA is filed under the name Echinops telfairi (small Madagascar hedgehog). Its description in RNAcentral is "Small nucleolar RNA SNORA61 (ENSETEG00000025070.1)". Lineage: Eukaryota; Metazoa; Chordata; Mammalia; Afrosoricida; Tenrecidae. The record is from RNAcentral.
GCCCUCCAGGUUCCUGACCCAUCAGACAGAAACACAAAUCUGAGUGCUUAAAAAAGGAAGAAAAGUAGAAGUAGAACGAACUUCAAGUCUUUUGUGACCUACCAGCUAGGGUCAAACAAAC